Sesamum indicum (sesame) is the source of this 1005-nucleotide non-coding RNA. The record is from RefSeq and is a predicted model, not a curated record. NCBI's taxonomy places the organism in Eukaryota, Viridiplantae, Streptophyta, Magnoliopsida, Lamiales, Pedaliaceae.
AUCAUUUUCACUCUUAGUUUUCUCUCAACAGCGGCCGAUUUCCUCCCCCCUCUUCAAGCCAACUCCUAGUCUUCUUCCUCCUCUUAAUCUUCAAGAAUGGCUUCCCAAUGUCUUUGGGAAUACUCAAAACCGCCAUCUUCUUCCUAUCUUGACACUAUAAAUAUUAUCUCUUCUCCUUAUGUCAAUAACACCAAAAAAUAUCUCUGGAAAUUUUUGUGAUAUUGAAACCUUAGUGGUUGUCUAUUUUUCUUCGUGUUUUCGGUUCUGAGUGAACAAAAUAAGGAGUUUCUCUUGGUGAGAAAAGAAGGAGCAACCGUGGUGGUUAUUGUGGUUGCCGGCCUUUCUCGUGGCCGUAUGUGACUACCUCGGAUCUGUGGCUCUCUGAGCCGAUAUUACCGUUUUCCUUUUACUGUUGUUUAAAUUUCUAUAUAUUUAUUAUCAUUGUUGUAUAUCUUGGCCAGUAUUAUUAAUUUAAGGGUUCAAAUCCCCGAAAUCUGUAAUAGUUGAAUUAGGUGUUCUCGAGCUUCCGCUGAAGGGUUUUUACGCAACAGUGAUAUUAGAGCAAGGUAUCUGAUCCUUCGCCUCAGUGGUGAUAAUUUCACUAGCAUCCUUUUUGGCAAUGAUGAUUGGGGAAUAUGAGUCGAAGCAAUAACAAGAAUAUUUCUAGUGGAACAGCUUUCAGAGAGAUAUUUUACUAAUAGACCGAGGGAUAAGUAAUUCGACUCAAUCAUAUUCAGAUCAUGAAUGUUUGAAAUCCAUAUUAUGCAAGGAGACAUUGCUUUUGCUAAUUUUCGAAUUGAAGGGUGUACGCCACAGGCCCAGGUUAUGAGCCAAAUUACCAGUGUCCUGGUCCAACAUAGAGAAUGUAAAUAUAUAUGACCGGUUACGCCCUUUAGACUGCGUACAUCUUCUAGGCCCCUUAUGGGGCGUCCUACAAGCUAGUCCCCUUCUUUGGGCCAAAUAUAUUUUUAUGGUAUCAAUCUAAAUCUUGAAGAUAGAAUUUUA